RNAcentral lists this ribosomal RNA (381 nucleotides) under uncultured archaeon. RNAcentral's name for it is "bacterial SSU rRNA". It matches the Rfam family "Archaeal small subunit ribosomal RNA", at positions 345 to 727 of the family's 1478-position model. The record is from RNAcentral.
AACCUUUACAAUGCACGAAAGUGUGAUAAGGGAAUCCCAAGUGUCUUACUUUUAGUAAGGCUUUUGCCAAGAAUAAAAACCUUGGCGAAUAAAUGGUGGGCAAGACUUGUGCCAGCCGCCGCGGUAACACCAGCGCCAUAAGUGGCAACCGCUAUUAUUGGGCCUAAAGCGCCCGUAGCCGGUUCAUUAAAUUUUCUGUGAAAUCGUUAGGCUUAACUUAACGGCAUGCAGAAAAGACUACUGAACUUGGGACCGGGAGGCGUCAGAGGUAUUCCUGAGGGAGCGGUAAAAUGCUAUAAUCUUAGGAAGACCCCCUGUGGUGAAGACGUCUGACGAGAACGGAUCCGACGGUGAGGGACGAAAGCUAGGGGAGCGAACCGG